Molecule: ribosomal RNA, 460 nt
Filed under: uncultured beta proteobacterium
Lineage: Bacteria; Pseudomonadati; Pseudomonadota; Betaproteobacteria
Description: bacterial SSU rRNA
Rfam family: Bacterial small subunit ribosomal RNA
Source: RNAcentral
AGGAAAGCAGGGGAUCGCAAGACCUUGCGCUUUUGGAGCGGCCGAUGUCUGAUUAGCUAGUUGGUGAGGUAAAGGCUUACCAAGGCUUCGAUCAGUAGCUGGUCUGAGAGGACGACCAGCCACACUGGGACUGAGACACGGCCCAGACUCCUACGGGAGGCAGCAGUGGGGAAUUUUGGACAAUGGGGGCAACCCUGAUCCAGCCAUGCCGCGUGAGUGAAGAAGGCCUUCGGAUUGUAAAGCUCUUUCAGCCGGAACGAAAAGGUUACGGUUAAUACCCGUGACUAAUGACGGUACCGGAAGAAGAAGCACCGGCUAACUACGUGCCAGCAGCCGCGGUAAUACAUAGGGUGCGAGCGUUAAUCGGAAUUACUGGGCGUAAAGCGUGCGCAGGCGGUUUUGUAAGUCAGAUGUGAAUCCCCGGGCUUAACCUGGGAACUGCGUUUGAAACUACAAGGCU